RNAcentral lists this transfer RNA (73 nucleotides) under Dendronephthya gigantea. RNAcentral's name for it is "tRNA-Tyr". It matches the Rfam family "tRNA". Rfam says of the family: Transfer RNA (tRNA) molecules are approximately 80 nucleotides in length. Their secondary structure includes four short double-helical elements and three loops (D, anti-codon, and T loops). The record is from RNAcentral. Lineage: Eukaryota; Metazoa; Cnidaria; Anthozoa; Malacalcyonacea; Nephtheidae.
CCUUCGAUAGCUCAGUUGGUAGAGCGGGGGACUGUAGACCCCUAGGUCACUGGUUCAAAUCCGGUUCGAAGGA